This is a long non-coding RNA of Cyprinus carpio (common carp), 511 nucleotides long. NCBI's taxonomy places the organism in Eukaryota, Metazoa, Chordata, Actinopteri, Cypriniformes, Cyprinidae. The record is from Ensembl.
AUGAGUGUGAAUGAGGGGAUGGAGCUUAGGGACACUGAAGCAUCUCCAGAACUCAGCUGUGUGUCUAUGAAGAGUGAAGCAUCACUGAAUGAUCCGCUUGAUUUCAGUGGUGAAGCAGUGACCUCUGACCCCAGACUGAAGAUCCAAAAAGCUGCAUAUCCAGAACCCAACUGUUUGUCUAUGAAGAGUGAAGCAUCCUUGAAUGAUCCAAUUGAUUUCAGAGGUGAAGCAGUGACCUCUGACCCCAGCGAUUUUUAACAGUGUGGGAGCAUCGGUAGAACAACAGUGAACUGCGGUGAGAUGAGAUGUUUUUUUUUUACUUUUUUUUUUUUUUUUUUUUGACAUUUAUUGAACCUUAACAAAAAAAGUCAUUCGAAGUUUCAGAUUUACAAUCAAACCUGAGCGUACAUACAAAUAUUACAACACAAUAUACAUAUUCACAUCAGCAGGCAAGAAAAGUUGAAGCCUAGGUGAAAAUAAAACUAAAAGAAAAAGAAAAAAUUUAAAUAAA